AGAGUUUGAUCCUGGCUCAGAACGAACGCUGGCGGCGUGCCUAACACAUGCAAGUCGAGCGCGAAUGGAGCAAUCCUAGUAGAGCGGCGCACGGGUGAGUAACACGUGGGUAAUCUGCCUGGAAGUUCGGGACAACCUGCCGAAAGGCUGGCUAAUACCGGAUAAGCCCACAGGGUCCUCGGACCCCGAGGGAAAAGAUGGCCUCUGCAUGCAAGCUAUCGCUUCUAGAUGAGCCCGCGGCCCAUCAGCUUGUUGGCGGGGUAAUGGCCCACCAAGGCUACGACGGGUAGCUGGUCUGAGAGGACGAUCAGCCACACUGGAACUGAGACACGGUCCAGACUCCUACGGGAGGCAGCAGUGGGGAAUUUUGCGCAAUGGGCGAAAGCCUGACGCAGCAACGCCGCGUGUGUGAUGAAGGUCUUCGGAUCGUAAAGCACUUUCGACCGGGACGAAAACCCGCUGGCCAAUAUCCAGCGGACUGACGGUACCGGGAGAAGAAGCACCGGCUAACUCUGUGCCAGCAGCCGCGGUAAUACAGAGGGUGCAAGCGUUGUUCGGAAUUAUUGGGCGUAAAGCGCGUGUAGGCGGCCUUGC
RNAcentral lists this ribosomal RNA (594 nucleotides) under uncultured bacterium. Its description in RNAcentral is "bacterial SSU rRNA". It matches the Rfam family "Bacterial small subunit ribosomal RNA", at positions 8 to 584 of the family's 1533-position model. The record is from RNAcentral.